GGCAGAGUGUUCACACUUCAGUUUCUCAAACCCAUUCCCCACUGUAGUCAAAUUGGUUCCCACUAUUCAUUAGAAAAUAUCUUCACACCUUUUUAACUGCAAAAAAGCAAAAACUUUCUAUGGGUUAAAGGCCAUUUACAGAAAAUUGAAUUCUUCCUUCUCUUUCCCUUUCAAAAGAAGGCUGAGGAGAAAUUUUUGUUUGAAGUAGCAAGGUGGCAGUCGGGAGUAGGAAUAACUGUAAUCUCCUCCUUGCGUUUGGAAAAUCCAAAGUCUUCUUUUUUCCUACAAAAAUCGAAAACCCUCGAUUUUGCAAUCUCGGCCUUCGUUUCAAACCACUUCAAAACUCAGUAAUCGUAUCACCCAAAAAUCACUGAUGUCCAGUCAUCGAAGAAAGGACGGUGACGAUUUAAGAGACAAAGAUCUUUACGAAGUUGGAAAGACAACGUACUCAAGAAGUUAGUGUGCGGCGCAUUGUACCUCAAUAUCGCUGUCGUGAACCAGCUCCUUGUCUAUGGCAGUACUUUGAGCAAAUUAUUGUUGACAAUGAAGGUCUGUUUCAAGAAUUACUUCACUUAAGAUCAUUUAUCCAUCAUUGACACAAGUGUGACCAUACAGAAUGGAGAAGAAGUAGGCAUCAAGCUGGUAUGCUUCAGGCAUUUGACUUGAUACAUUGUUGAAGGUGUAGAAUCAAUUGGACCACGAUGAUCACCAUUGGAUACUGGACAAUUGAACAACUGUGGGUGACAGAUUGAAGUUACUGGAACGAAGAAAAUGGCGAAAGGUUGAACAAUUGAAAAGUUGUGGAUGACAGAUUGAAGUUGCUGAAACGAAGAGAAUGGCAAAAGGUUUGCGGAAUUUUUCAAAGGAUCAAUUGACGAAAGAUGAUAUUAAAGUGUAUGUAGCUAUUUUGGAGAAGUCGAGUGGUGAUGUGUACCCUAAUGCCAGUUAGUGGUAUGAAAGUGUUCCAUUGAAGCUCACAGCUAAGUAAUUUAUUCCAUUGUAAUUUUGACUUCUUAUUCUUUUUAUUAUUUAUUAAUUCUUUGGGAUGUCGGACUAGCUUAUUCAGAGAAAAGUAAUGAAUUAAUAAUUCGACCUCUCAAGAGUAAAGCAAGUAUUGCUAAAGCGAAUCUAAGCCCUUUUUACAAUUGGGUAGUUUGAGAGUUGAUUAAGAGGCUGUUUGAGCCACAUUAUUUCAAAAAAAUACAUUUUUAAACAGUAAUUUGAUAUUAUUUCAACCACACAUUUUUCAAUAAAAUAAUAUUACAUGUAGAUCAAAAUUUUUUCCUUAUUUUUUAACCACACAUUUCCCAUCAAUACACUAUUCAAAAAUGCAUUAUUACCAAAAUAAUGUGGCUCAAACAACCCCUAAAUUUAGGAACGAAAGUCGUAAUCAUCACCGUGUGCCUAUUCAAGAAGCUUAUGCAUUUAUUUCACCAUUAGCACGUUUCUCCUACAUUUUUUAAAAAAAAAAAAAUCCGAAAUAUAAUCCUAUUUUCCCCCAAUAUUAUUUUUGUUAUUUUUUGUUAAAAACCCAAAAGAAGCUAUUUUUUAUUGUCUAUACUUAUUUAUGAGUAUCUCGGAAUUUUAGUUUUUAUUGACAACAUUUUAUGCAUAAUGGUAUAGCUAUCCUGAGAAGGCUGUUGGAGUCUGAGUUGGAAGCCAAGCUGCUCCUGCUGAAGAUGCACCAGUUAAGGAGGAAGCCAAGGUUUUUUUUUUCCCCCUAAACCCCAACUCAAGAAGAGCUGUAAUUUUUGGUGGCUGUUGACUGGUCGACAAUUUCAAGCAAGAAUAAUAAUGUUGUUCAAAACCCUGCUGGAUUUGCCCUUUUGGAAAACUUGGAUAAAGGCAAGCUAUCCAAAGUCGAGGAAUCACUGUCAAUACUAAUCUCUGUAUAUAUCCAUAAUGCUGGAUUUGGGGAGGACAACAUUAAUGCUGCUUGGCUAGGUAGACAAGGGAUUGCUUUGGCUUUACUUUCUGUGGCAGAUGAACUUCGAACCAAAGACCUUUCUAUUGUGAUGUACUAUUUCUGCAGUUACUGGGAGAGGCUUGAUCAAGGUUGAAGAUCAUGAUGUCAGCAGCAGCUUCUUUCCAUGCAUAGUUGCUGAGGAUGAUGUUUGCACCGAGAUCUGUAUGCUUGAGAGUAAAAUAGAAUUGGUUGUGACAGAUUCGCUCCCCCGAGGCACUGAAAAAUUAGAAGCACACAAUCAAGCCAUGAAUUUCAUCCAAGAAAUGGGAUGGCUUCUUUUCAAAAAUAGUUUGAAGUCUAGGUUGGAACACUGGGAUCAUAACUCAAAGUUCCCAUUUAAACUGUUCAAGUACCUCGUGAAGUUCUUUGUUGACCAUGAUUUGUGUGUCGUUUUAAAUAAACCCUUGGACAUUCUUUUCAGUUGAAUAGUGGGCGCAAGAGAGUUGCCUUUAUUGAA
This is a long non-coding RNA of Olea europaea var. sylvestris, 2423 nucleotides long. RefSeq lists it as uncharacterized. Lineage: Eukaryota; Viridiplantae; Streptophyta; Magnoliopsida; Lamiales; Oleaceae. The record is from RefSeq and is a predicted model, not a curated record. The transcript is spliced from 8 exons.